UAAAAAAAAAAUCAUAAUUUUAUAUGCAUCACCAAGGAACUCUGAGAUAAAAAAAAUACAGAAGGAAAUUAAAAAUGAAAAAUUAAUGGAGAAAAGCAAUGAUGCCCUAUUUAUUCUGACACAACAUUUCUAGAAUUACCUGAUUAAAAACAUCCCUUAUUGAACUCUUCUUUUGGUUGGGGAGAACAGGGGGGUUUAUCCUGUCUGACCAACAUACUGAUAAUCUGAUUCAAUUUCCUUUUUCUCUCAUGGAUAGUAAAAUGGAUACAGUAAUGCUGCAAUGUCGGUUUAUGCCUGGUAAUCAAAGUGACAAUCAUUCACAACAAGAAGCUAGAUUUUUAGAGGCACUAUCCCAAUGCUUCUAUGAGCCCCUGUUCUAACACAUGGGACCAUUUAGAAAGUAAAUAUUUCUUAGUUUGCUUCUUGAUGACACACCUUGUGAGAAUUUGGAUACUGGAAGAAUUAAAAAUUACAAUGGCUAAGUAAAACAUAGAAACAAGC
RNAcentral lists this unclassified non-coding RNA (501 nucleotides) under Hevea brasiliensis (rubber tree). Lineage: Eukaryota; Viridiplantae; Streptophyta; Magnoliopsida; Malpighiales; Euphorbiaceae. The record is from RNAcentral.